AAUCAACGCUGGCGGCGUGCCUAACACAUGCAAGUCGAACGCGAAAGCCCGCAAGGGUAAGUAGAGUGGCGCACGGGUGAGUAACACGUGGACAACCUGCCUUCGAGUGGGGAAUAACCUUCCGAAAGGAGGGCUAAUACCGCAUAACACCUCGGGACACAAGUUUUGGGGUUGAAAAGAGCAAUUUGCUCGAAGAGGGGUCCGCGCCUGAUUAGCUAGUUGGUGAGGUAACGGCUCACCAAGGCUUCGAUCAGUAGCCGUCCUGAGAGGGAGCACGGCCACACUGGAACUGAGACACGGUCCAGACUCCUACGGGAGGCAGCAGUGGGGAAUUUUUGGCAAUGGGCGAAAGCCUGACCAAGCAACGCCGCGUGGGUGAUGAAGUAUCUUGGUACGUAAAACCCUUUCGGCAGGGACGAACCUAAUGACGGUACCUGCGGAAGAAGCCCCGGCUAACUCCGUGCCAGCAGCCGCCGCCGU
RNAcentral lists this ribosomal RNA (480 nucleotides) under uncultured bacterium. RNAcentral's name for it is "bacterial SSU rRNA". It matches the Rfam family "Bacterial small subunit ribosomal RNA", at positions 32 to 524 of the family's 1533-position model. The record is from RNAcentral.